This 259-nucleotide ribosomal RNA is filed under the name uncultured bacterium. RNAcentral's name for it is "partial 16S ribosomal RNA". It matches the Rfam family "Bacterial small subunit ribosomal RNA", at positions 99 to 354 of the family's 1533-position model. The record is from RNAcentral.
CGCACGGGUGAGUAACGCGUAUGCGACCUGCCCGUUGCAGGGGGAUAAUCGGGAGAAAUCCCAUCUAAUACCGCGUAACGCCGCGGGGCUGCAUGGCCCUGCGGCCAAAGGGAGCGAUUCCGGCAACGGAUGGGCAUGCGUGACAUUAGCUAGUUGGCGGGGCAACGGCCCACCAAGGCGACGAUGUCUAGGGGUUCUGAGAGGAAGGUCCCCCACACUGGUACUGAGACACGGACCAGACUCCUACGGAAGGCAGCAG